Long non-coding RNA from Dermochelys coriacea (leatherback sea turtle), 749 nucleotides. RefSeq lists it as uncharacterized. The record is from RefSeq and is a predicted model, not a curated record. Lineage: Eukaryota; Metazoa; Chordata; Testudines; Dermochelyidae. The transcript has 3 exons.
UGACUGCUGGUGGGGAAGGAGGUGUGUUGCUAAUGCCUGAGGGAGGAUUGCCUACAUGCCAAGAUAUGGAGAUCAGACAGUCAGAAAUGGACCCUGACACACCAUCUUAGGACAUCAUGGAAACUGGAGAAUCCCAGAGAUGGAGAACCCCAGAGGCUUGGAUAGGAAGUGAUGCAGGGAAGUUUUGUGGGGAAAUGGUUACAGAACCGGACUAAGGCUUGGAGACUUCUAAACAAACAGGACAGCACAACUCCUACCAAGCUCUUCUUCAUCAAAACAUUUGUAUCCAGCUCACUGGAGAAAGCUAUGAGAGAGGAGUGACAAACUGAUGAUAUCUGAGCAAACCUCAUAAUGAAAAAGCCAGUGACCUUUGCAGAUGCUACUUUUCAGCUAGACAAAAUCUUGAAGAAACCUAUUUGUCUGUUUACAUUAACAGGACUUAUUGUUUUGCAUCAUUGUAAAGGAAUAAAUCCCAUAACAAAUGUCAUUGUAUCCAGGUACUGACACAUUUAUAAAAUAGGGUUCUUUUAAUAGGACUCUGCAAAUUUUUUCAUUGACUUUUACUUUAUCACUUUUUUUAAUUAAAAAGGAUGGGUUAAAUAAAAAAAAGCAUUGCCUAUUCCUCUUGACUGACAUCUUCUGUUAGCUACUGUAUCACAAUCGGCAGAAAUGGAGUCAGAUGGCCCAUAUUCCCUAGAGGGACUAUUACUGAGGGGACACCAGUGGAAAAGGAAACAUGGGGAGUUAGG